Molecule: ribosomal RNA, 453 nt
Filed under: uncultured bacterium
Lineage: Bacteria
Description: bacterial SSU rRNA
Rfam family: Bacterial small subunit ribosomal RNA
Source: RNAcentral
CGCUGGCGGCGUGCUUCAUACAUGCAAGUCGAACGAGAAGCUAGAGCUUGCUCUAGUGGAAAGUGGCGGACGGGUGAGUAAUAUGUAGGAAAUCUGCCCUAGAGAGGGGGACAACAGAAGGAAACUUCUGCUAAUACCCCAUAUGAGCUUGGUUGAAAUACCAAUCUUGAAAACUCCGGUGCUCUAGGAUGAGCCUGCACCUGAUUAGCUUGUUGGUGGUGUAAUGGACUACCAAGGCGACGAUCAGUAGCUGGUUUGAGAGGAUGAUCAGCCACAAUGGGACUGAGACACGGCCCAGACUCCUACGGGAGGCAGCAGUGGGGAAUAUUGCACAAUGGAGGAAACUCUGAUGCAGCGACGCCGCGUGAAGGAUGAAGUAUUUCGGUAUGUAAACUUCUAUCAGCAGGGAAGAAAAUGACGGUACCUGACUAAGAAGCCCCGGCUAACUACGUG